Molecule: ribosomal RNA, 1148 nt
Filed under: Vibrio sp. H6D
Lineage: Bacteria; Pseudomonadati; Pseudomonadota; Gammaproteobacteria; Vibrionales; Vibrionaceae
Description: bacterial SSU rRNA
Rfam family: Bacterial small subunit ribosomal RNA
Source: RNAcentral
CAUGCAGUCGAGCGGAACGAGUUAUCUGAACCUUCGGGGAACGAUAACGGCGUCGAGCGGCGGACGGGUGAGUAAUGCCUAGGAAAUUGCCCUGAUGUGGGGGAUAACCAUUGGAAACGAUGGCUAAUACCGCAUAAUGCCUACGGGCCAAAGAGGGGGACCUUCGGGCCUCUCGCGUCAGGAUAUGCCUAGGUGGGAUUAGCUAGUUGGUGAGGUAAUGGCUCACCAAGGCGACGAUCCCUAGCUGGUCUGAGAGGAUGAUCAGCCACACUGGAACUGAGACACGGUCCAGACUCCUACGGGAGGCAGCAGUGGGGAAUAUUGCACAAUGGGCGCAAGCCUGAUGCAGCCAUGCCGCGUGUGUGAAGAAGGCCUUCGGGUUGUAAAGCACUUUCAGUCGUGAGGAAGGUGGURUWGUUAAUAGCWGYAUCAUUUGACGUUAGCGACAGAAGAAGCACCGGCUAACUCCGUGCCAGCAGCCGCGGUAAUACGGAGGGUGCGAGCGUUAAUCGGAAUUACUGGGCGUAAAGCGCAUGCAGGUGGUUUGUUAAGUCAGAUGUGAAAGCCCGGGGCUCAACCUCGGAAUAGCAUUUGAAACUGGCAGACUAGAGUACUGUAGAGGGGGGUAGAAUUUCAGGUGUAGCGGUGAAAUGCGUAGAGAUCUGAAGGAAUACCGGUGGCGAAGGCGGCCCCCUGGACAGAUACUGACACUCAGAUGCGAAAGCGUGGGAGCAAACAGAUAAACAGGAUUAGAUACCCUGGUAGUCCACGCCGUAAACGAUGUCUACUUGGAGGUUGUGGCCUUGAGCCGUGGCUUUCGGAGCUAACGCGUUAAGUAGACCGCCUGGGGAGUACGGUCGCAAGAUUAAAACUCAAAUGAAUUGACGGGGGCCCGCACAAGCGGUGGAGCAUGUGGUUUAAUUCGAUGCAACGCGAAGAACCUUACCUACUCUUGACAUCCAGAGAACUUUCCAGAGAUGGAUUGGUGCCUUCGGGAACUCUGAGACAGGUGCUGCAUGGCUGUCGUCAGCUCGUGUUGUGAAAUGUUGGGUUAAGUCCCGCAACGAGCGCAACCCUUAUCCUUGUUUGCCAGCGAGUAAUGUCGGGAACUCCAGGGAGACUGCCGGUGAUAAACCGGAGGAAGGUGG